RNAcentral lists this ribosomal RNA (1965 nucleotides) under uncultured eukaryote. Its description in RNAcentral is "partial small subunit ribosomal RNA". It matches the Rfam family "Eukaryotic small subunit ribosomal RNA". The record is from RNAcentral.
AAUGUCAGUGGACCUGAGUUCACUCGGGGGGACUGUGUACGGCUCAUUAAACGGUCUAUCGUCUACCCAACAGAGUGUACAUUCGUGUACGCCGACGGGAUAACUGCUCCGAAACGGGCAGCUAAUACCUGAAAGACAAAUUCUACAACAUUCCACUGUGCUUGGGGAAACCUGGGUGCAGGUUGUAGGAUGCUAUUGGCCGGAACAAAGACCAACGCCCUCACGGCGCAGUUGCAAUUGUUGACGCAGGCCAAUGUAGCAGAAGCACCUUUGGUGCGUUGUUGGACGAAUUUACCACCUAUCAGGUUGAAGGUAGUAUAGUUGACUACCUUGCCAGUGACGGGUAACGGAGAAUUGGGGUUCGAUUCCGGAGAGGGUGCCUGAGAAACGGCAACCAUCACUACGGUGAGCAGCAGGCGCGCAAAUUGCCCAAUGCUAACACAUGGCGAGGCAGCGACGAAAAAUAGUAUUCCUGCGGCAUUGUACAUCAGAGAUUGUAAUGGAUUGUAUCCAGUACACACUGCUGAGUAUCAAUUGGAGGGCAAGUCUGGUGCCAGCAGCCGCGGUAAUUCCAGCUCCAAGAGCGUAUAUAAAUGUUGUUGCGGUUAAAAAGCCCGUAGUUGGAUUUGAGAGUCGAGCUAGUGGAAGUCCUCUGAGGCUUUCGGGCUGAUGGGGUAACUUGCACGUUACAGCAAGACUCUGAGACUUGCGGGAUCGUCCACUGGCUGAAGGGGCAUUAAGUUGUCCUGGAAGCAACUUCGGAGCGAUUACACUCCACCAGGUGCGCCCGCAGCCGUCACUGUGAAUAAAACAGAGUGUUCAAGGCAACCAUUAACGUGGUUGAAUGUUAAAGCAUGGAAUGACAAGGGAUCGACCUACGGGCCUCUUUUUGUUGGUACUUUAAGCCUUGUUAGGGGAAUUUUGCUUAUGGAAUUCACUGCGUUCAGCCUCGGUUGGCGUAGUGGUCCGUUUGCGCCCGGGAUCAAUAGGAGCACAGGGGGCCAUGAGUACUGGCGGGCUAGUGGUGAAAUACUGAGACCCCUCCAAGACCGACAUCAGCGAAAGCACUUGGCUAUUGUGCUUUCAUUAAUCAAGGACGAGAGAUCGGGGAUUGAAGAGGAUUAGACACCCUCGUAAUCCGGUCUGUAAAUUCUGCAGACUUGGGAUCGGUCAGUGCUCUCUUCUUAGACCUGAUCGGCACCUUACUCCUCUAUCGAGAAAUCAAAGUUUUUGUGUUCCGGGGGGAGUAUAUUCGCAAGGCUGAAACUUAAAGGAAUUGACGGAGAACCACCACCAGUCGUGGAGUGUGUGGCUUAAUUCGACUCAACACGGGAAAUUUUACCAGGCCAGGAGGUGGUAAGGAUUGCCAGAUUGAUAGCUCUUGCAUGAUUCCGCUGAGGGUGGUGCAUGGCCGCUUCUGGUUGGUGAAGUGAUUUGUCUGCUUAAUUGCGUUAACGAACGAGAUCUCUGCCAAUUACUAGAUGCCUGUGUCGUUUAGGUUCCGGUGGCUCAUCUUUUUGUGUCGCCGUGUUUCUUUUUGACGCUGAGACGCAGGACUUUUACUUAUUGGGAUUAUGCAUUCUCAACUGCAUUGAAACAAGAGCCCAAAGCAGGUCUGUGAUGCUCCUAUAUGUUCUGGGCUGCACGCGCACUACACUGAUUCAGCCAACGAGCUUCUGCCGAUCUCGGCAGCCUGGUUGCGAAGGCAUUGGGGAAUCUUUUGAGCCUGAGUCGUGAUGGGGAUUGAUGCUUGUAAUUAUUCUCCAUGAACGAGGAAUGUCUUGUAUCCGCGUUUCAUCAGAACGCAGAGAAUACGUCCCUGGUUCUUGUACACACCGCCCGUCGUUGCCUGUGAUGGAUUGGGAGUAGAGCCAUCUGGAGGUGGGCUGCGGAGCGAUUCAAGGCCUUGCCGAAAUUUGUCAAUACUUUCUGUCUAGAAGAGGCAAAAGUCGUAACAAGGUACUU